RNAcentral lists this transfer RNA (65 nucleotides) under pig gut metagenome. It matches the Rfam family "tRNA", at positions 6 to 65 of the family's 71-position model. Rfam says of the family: Transfer RNA (tRNA) molecules are approximately 80 nucleotides in length. The record is from RNAcentral.
GGAGUAGCUCAGUUGGUUAGAGCGUCGGAUUGUGGCUCCGAAGGUCGGGGGUUCGAGUCUCCUCU